This 76-nucleotide transfer RNA is filed under the name Alteromonas sp. IB21. RNAcentral's name for it is "tRNA-Pro". The record is from RNAcentral. Lineage: Bacteria; Pseudomonadati; Pseudomonadota; Gammaproteobacteria; Alteromonadales; Alteromonadaceae.
UGGUGUGUGGAGGUGUAUUUAUGGCACUGUCAUGGGGUGUCAGGGGUCGGAGGUUCAAAUCCUCUCACACCGACCA